UGUCAAUCCAAACGUCAUCUUGUGUUUCCCUAAUUUUACACCCUCUCUCCCAAAUCUGCCCCCAUUCAGUGCAAUCUUAAUGAUUCCUUCAACCAAAACCCUUGUAAAUCGAAGAAGCAAAUGAAACGGUGGGCAAUAAGAACUGAAUGUUAUUGAAUCGUUUGCCAUCUCCAUUUAUAGUUAUAUUGAAUGUUGAAUUUCAUGAGUUCUUCAGUUGCGAAACCGUUGUAUAAAUCAAAUACCUCAAGGCUGAAAAUUGGCCAUCUCUUCUACCCGACGUAUUGCUCCACAAAUUUCUGGGGUUUUCCAUUUCUAAGUUUAUUGCGAUCUUCUUGUGCAAGUAAACACAGAGCAAAAUACCAUUUAGGGUUUUUCUAAAUCGAUUAAUUCAUUGAUAACUGCAUAUUCUACAAUCAUUUUGAAGCGAAGCAGAUUCACCACUUCAAUCAUGUGGACUCUCAAUUUUCCAAGGAAAAUAUAGCUCGAAUCAGGCUUUACGAGCUUAGGAACAAAUCGAAGUUGAAUUGAAUGAUCUCCAACUGGUCGUAAUAUCUACAAUCUAGGGGUGCUAAGAUAUUAGAAGGUUUAGAUGCUGUGAGGAAAAGACCUGGAAUGUACAUUGGAACUUUGGAAGUACGGGGUUUUGUGGUCUACAUCAUCUGGUUUAUGAAAUACUGGAUAACGCUGUUGAUGAAGCCCAAGCUGGUUUUGUUUCAAAAGUCGACAUUGUCUUACUCGCAGACGGGUCAGUGUGCAUCACUGACAAUGGACGUGGGAUCCCGAUCAACAUUAAGUCCCGACAACAUGCAAAAGAGCGCUGGUGGGAGGUGUACGGUGGUCGAUUGGGUUGGUGUGAUGGUGAUGAUGGGUGGCGGUGGUGGGUGGGUGCGAUGAAGAUGAUUGGUGGCGGUGCUGGGAUGCUUACGGUGGUUGGUUGUGGAUGGUGAAUGUGGGUUUGCGGUGGUGGAGGUGUUGCAGGUGGUGUUGGCCGAAGUGGUGGGUUCUGGAUGGUGAACGUGGGUUGUGGAUGGUGAAGGUGUGUUAGGCGGUGGUGGGAGGGGUGUUGCAGGUGGAUUGAUGUUUAAGAUAGGAAACAAUGUCUAAUGCACAUGCCAUGCGUUUCGCCAUUAUAAGUCUACACUAAAGUUGAUUCCACAAGAUUAAGAGUGCAAAGUGUUCUAAGUUAAUUAGUUAAUCGGAAGCUCCCAGUUACAAGAAGAGAGAUAAGAUUAAGAUAUGG
Molecule: long non-coding RNA, 1240 nt
Filed under: Helianthus annuus (common sunflower)
Lineage: Eukaryota; Viridiplantae; Streptophyta; Magnoliopsida; Asterales; Asteraceae
Source: RNAcentral